UACGGGGGGGGCAAGCGUUGUUCGGAUUUACUGGGCGUAAAGGGCGCGUAGGCGGCGAAUCAAGUCAGCUGUGAAAUCUCCGAGCUUAACUCGGAACGGUCAGCUGAUACUGUUUUGCUAGAGUGCAGAAAGGGCAACCGGAAUUCUUGGUGUAGCGGUGAAAUGCGUAGAUAUCAAGAGGAACACCUGAGGCGAAGGCGGGUUGCUAGGCUGACACUGACGCUGAAGCGCGAAAGCUAGGGUAGCAAACGGG
RNAcentral lists this ribosomal RNA (253 nucleotides) under uncultured bacterium. Its description in RNAcentral is "partial 16S ribosomal RNA". It matches the Rfam family "Bacterial small subunit ribosomal RNA", at positions 524 to 776 of the family's 1533-position model. The record is from RNAcentral.